GGCUCGCGGGGGAUCUUGACGAAGCAGUCGUUGAGUGAGAGGUUGUGGCGGAUGCUGUUCUGCCAGGCGGGGAACUUCUCCCUGUAGUAGGGGAAGCGGUUGCUGAUGAACUCGCAGAUGCCGCUCAGGGUCAGCUUCUUCUGCGGGCUCUGCAGGAUGGCCAUGGUGAUGAGCGCGAUGUACGAGUAAGGCGGCUUCACUAGGCGCUCGCUACCGCUCCCGGCCCCGGCGGUUCUCCACGCCGCGCCCCCUCACUUAGCCCGCCUUCCUCGGCCUCUGGCCCUGGCGUGGGGCGCAGGAGCGGUCCAGGCGGGCGCGGGACGCCGGGCGCCGAGCAGCUCGGGAGGGCGCGGGCAGGGACAGUAGCGGGGGGGCAGGGGGCUGGGUGUCAGGGACGCCGAAGCCCCGGUAGUCGAAAGUCCCGUUUUAA
RNAcentral lists this long non-coding RNA (430 nucleotides) under Homo sapiens (human). RNAcentral's name for it is "FOXD3 antisense RNA 1". Lineage: Eukaryota; Metazoa; Chordata; Mammalia; Primates; Hominidae. The record is from RNAcentral.